CGGAAACGGUAGCUAAUACCGGAUAAUUUAUUUCACAGCAUUGUGGAAUAAUGAAAGACGGAGCAAUCUGUCACUUGGGGAUGGGCCUGCGGCGCAUUAGCUAGUUGGUGGGGUAAUGGCUCACCAAGGCGACGAUGCGUAGCCAACCUGAGAGGGUGAACGGCCACACUGGGACUGAGACACGGCCCAGACUCCUACGGGAGGCAGCAGUAGGGAAUCUUCCGCAAUGGGCGAAAGCCUGACGGAGCAACGCCGCGUGAGUGAUGAAGGUUUUCGGAUCGUAAAGCUCUGUUGCCAAGGAAGAACGUCUUCUAGAGUAACUGCUAGGAGAGUGACGGUACUUGAGAAGAAAGCCCCGGCUAACUACGUGCCAGCAGCCGCGGUAAUACGUAGGGGGCAAGCGUUGUCCGGAAUUAUUGGGCGUAAAGCGCGCGCAGGCGGUUCUUUAGUCUGGUGUUUAAACCCGAGGCUCAACUUCGGGUCGCACUGGAAACUGGGGGACUUGAGUGCGAAAGAGCAGAGUGGAAUUCCACGUGUAGCGGUGAAAUGCGUAGAUAUGUGGAGAACACCAGUGGCGAGGCGACUCUCUGGCUGUAACUGACGCUGAGCGCGAAAGCGGGGGAGCAACAGGAUAGAUACCUGGUAGUCACGCCGAAACGAUGAUGCUAGGUUUAGGGUUUCGAUACCUUGGUGCGAAGUUACACUUAAGCAUUCCCCUGGGGAGACGGCCCAAGAUUAAACUCAAAGGAUUGACGGGACCCCCCAAGCAGGGAGUAUGGGGUUAAUUCGAAGCACCGA
RNAcentral lists this ribosomal RNA (798 nucleotides) under Paenibacillus sp. ADB_BD030. RNAcentral describes it as "bacterial SSU rRNA". It matches the Rfam family "Bacterial small subunit ribosomal RNA", at positions 151 to 964 of the family's 1533-position model. Lineage: Bacteria; Bacillati; Bacillota; Bacilli; Caryophanales; Paenibacillaceae. The record is from RNAcentral.